UAAUAUUGUACUUACAGUUUAUAAGCUGUAAUUUCUUAUUGUUUAUAAAUUAUAAAUAAUUACUUUUCAUGAAGGCCAUUAAGGAAAAAAGGAGAAGAAAAAAAAAAAACACUAAGGAGGUUUUGGAGUCAUCCUGGUCCGGGUUACAGGCACUCGGGGUAGUCUAUGCUGUGUUUAUAAACAGCAAUUUGCAGGACUCCUUAUCUAAUUUAUCUAAUGAGGCUCAGAGCCUCCCUCAGUUGGCACCGUUUUACUGCCCAGGCAGAGAAAAAGAAAAUAUUACUUUUGCUGAACCCAGAUGCCUUGGAGAGAACCUCCAAUGUGGCACAGGAUGGAAUUUUGCAGAUGGGGUAAAGGGAUUAAGGAAAUAGCCCCCAGGAGGCAGAAAGGAAGACCUGAACAAAGGAGAUGAAAUAGGAAGAGACAAAUUUAGGCAUGGAGUCAUCUCUUGGGGCUGCCAAAGUCUGCACAGCAAGCAUUUUUCUUGCUACCAUUUAGGAAGAACCAAUGUCUGUUUAUUAUGAUACAGUAAUUCACACAGUACACACUGCACACCAGGUGGUGCUGAAUAUAAACUGACAAACACUUCAGUUGACCCCCAUGGCAAAUUGGAACGCUGCUUGAGCUUACAUUUUUAUUGUUCCUCCAAUUUAAAUUUAAUUCUCAGAUUCAGCAUGAUACUCCAUCUGAAGCUGACAUGCAUGGCUCUGAAAUUAGAUCCUUUAUCCUUUAACACAAUUUGAGUGACAUGGGAAGAGGUAGUAGCCUUUUUAUUUAUUUAUUUUUUAAAUAUUUAUUUAUUUUUUUAGUUAUCGGCAGACACAACAUCUUUGUUGGUAUGUGGUGCUGAGGAUCGAACCUGGGCCGCACGCCUGCCAGGCAAGCGCACUACCGCUUGAGCCACAUCCCCAGCCCAUAGUAG
This 922-nucleotide long non-coding RNA is filed under the name Marmota monax (woodchuck). Lineage: Eukaryota; Metazoa; Chordata; Mammalia; Rodentia; Sciuridae. The record is from RNAcentral.